CCCCGAUGGCUGUGUUUUGCUAGGUCCAUAGAGCUAGGCUCCCCCGGUCGGUGCCAUCGUUCUCCUCCAGUUCUGAAGCUCUCCUGUGUAACCGACCUUUGGCGGUGCUGAUGCCGCCCAUUGUGGCCCUGUGGCUUUUUCAUGCGGGCUCAUUCGCGGCCAAUCCUGAACAUCGCUGCACUCCCGGUCCUUGCACCCAGCUUUGGAUGGCACCAAAGCCACCCGGGCAGCCAUGUCUUUCAUCAACACCAGGUUCACUGAACCCGAGCCGUUUCUGCUCGAAUCUCCACCCAGUCUGCGAUAAGUUCACCAGAUCUAAGGCCCCCCUCAUGGUGCCGGUCUCUUCCCACUCCGGCCAUUUGGGGCUCCUCGCAUUUGUAGCAUCGAUGGGUCUAAGUGCACACGGGGCGUAUGGGCGAUUUGUCCGUUCCAAGUUAGUAGUUUGACGCGUAGCUUCGGCAAAGGCCUGGGUCGCCUUUCUUCAAAGGCGGAAAGGACCACGCGUGUCUAGCUCUACAGAGCAGCAUAGCCUCUUCGAAGCAGAUCAUCACUAGGAAACUCAAGGCUGAACUCUAGUUCAAAGACACCGAGGUCCCCAUGCGCUUGCCACGGCUGAUCUUCACUCUGCGACCCAUCACGACCGACAUUAGUCCCGUGAUCCCAUCACCGUCGAUCCUGUUCUCAAUAGAUAACAUUCUCUCAUUCUUGGGCAUAUUAUCCCUGACCGGUGACGACGUCAUCUGGUGAUCCUCCCCCGGCAAGCAUAUAAACAACAUGACCCACAC
RNAcentral lists this long non-coding RNA (785 nucleotides) under Elaeis guineensis (African oil palm). RNAcentral describes it as "long non-coding RNA (EGUI_LNC024121)". Lineage: Eukaryota; Viridiplantae; Streptophyta; Magnoliopsida; Arecales; Arecaceae. The record is from RNAcentral.